GACGAACGCUGGCGGCGUGCUUAAUACAUGCAAGUCGAACGGAGCCUAGCUGGUGGUUUACUACCGGCGAAAGCUUAGUGGCGGACGGGUGAGUAACGCGUGGGUAAUCUGCCCCUAAGUCCGGGAUAACAGAGCGAAAGUUCUGCUAAUACCGGAUACUCUUCCCGGGUCGCAUGGUCCGGGAAGGAAAGGUUUACUGCUUAGGGAUGAGCCCGCGUCCCAUUAGCUAGUUGGUGAGGUAACGGCUCACCAAGGCGACGAUGGGUAGCCGGCCUGAGAGGGUGGACGGCCACACUGGGACUGAGACACGGCCCAGACUCCUACGGGAGGCAGCAGUAGGGAAUUUUCCGCAAUGGGCGAAAGCCUGACGGAGCAACGCCGCGUGAGGGAAGAAGGUCUUCGGAUCGUAAACCUUUGUCAUCGGGGACGAUCAUGACGGUACCCGAGGAGGAAGCCCCGGCUAACUACGUG
RNAcentral lists this ribosomal RNA (471 nucleotides) under uncultured bacterium. RNAcentral's name for it is "bacterial SSU rRNA". It matches the Rfam family "Bacterial small subunit ribosomal RNA", at positions 28 to 507 of the family's 1533-position model. The record is from RNAcentral.